Molecule: long non-coding RNA, 1875 nt
Organism: Homo sapiens (human)
Lineage: Eukaryota; Metazoa; Chordata; Mammalia; Primates; Hominidae
Product: long independently transcribed non-coding RNA 2018
Exons: 4
Source: RefSeq, marked validated
AGGAUAAGCGUCGUUGGGGCAGGUCCUGGGUAGAGUCCAGGUUGGCGGGUCCUGGGGCGGAGUCAGGAUAGGGCGAUCCUGGAAGCUGGGCUUCAGAAGCGUCCAGAUAGGGUCUCUCUCUCUGCCACCCAGGCCAGAGUGCAGUUGACGCAGGGCAGGGGAGCCCCGAAGUGGAGCAUAGUGUGUCCGGAACUGGUGGGUUCUUGGUCUCACUGACUUCAAGAAUGAAGCCGUGGACCCUCACGAGACAGGGUUUCACCAUGUUGGCCAGGCUUGUCUUGAACUCCUGACGUCGUGAUCUGCCUGCUUUGGCCUCCCAAAGUCCUGGGAUUACAGGCAUGAGCCACCGUACCCAGCCACUCUUGAUUAACUUAAUGGAAAUAUUUACAGAGAUUCUUUCUCUUCUGGGUUCUAGCGUCUUAUCUGUAACCUCUGCAGGUAGAAGUUGCUGGUCCCAUCUUGCUCACAAUCCUCCAAAGUUUGAAAGUUAUUUUCCAGGAGACUUGGCUUGCACUGAGAGCUGCCCUCCCACUCUCUCUCCAAAUUUCCUCUUCGGAGUAGCCUAACAAGGUGCUGUCACAGACCCUUGUCAGCCACGAUGACCCCACCCAGACCAUCCCUCUGCUGUUUCACUCUUUGAUACUCUCUGGAGCUCUCUGGGGAGGGGUGAGACCUGCCGUCUUCUUUGUACGGUUUGCCCAGGUCUUACAGUCAUGGCUGGCUGCCUCUCUCUGAGAACUGGGACUCCUGAACUUGGUGAAAUACCUCAGCCAUCGAUCAUGUUGAAUUAUUGGGAACACUCAUUUAAAAUCCGAGCCUGUUCCAGAUAGACUCUCUCUCUUUCUGCCCUGACUGUGAGAGAAGCCCUGCUGGAUGGUGGAGAUGCUCGUGGGCUGUGAGCAAGGGAUGCAAAGGCUGCCGGGAAUCCCAUCUUUCCAGCAUCAUCUGCUAAGUCACAUUAGUUCCUGGGUAUCUGGAUGGGUUCUAGCAGCAUUACUGUCAUUGAAGGAAAAAUGAUAGCCAUAUUAAAGGUUAAUGCAGCAAUCUCCACAUAGGCUGCCUUGAAGGGACGCAGGACAAGGGUAGGUUUUCCUUGUGAUGGACAGGAGGCAGGCGGCCCUCCCACAGCCCUGCCUGGCAAUGCAGGUGUGUCCCCAAAAGGCACUGGGGGCCAGCUGGAGUGCUAUGCCGAGGCGGGCUGACCUGGGCCGUGGGUUCGCUGAUUGCAGCGGUUUCCUGCCAGCUCCUUGGAGAGCUGGCAGAUGGCCCAGCCCCACAGCAGGAGCCGCGAAUGGCAGAGCGACAUACAACAAUUUGAUAUCCACUUGCCAGAGGAGCCGGGUGUCAUCAGUCGCCUGGAUCUGUGCCCAACUUCUUUUUGCAUAAACACUUAUGAAUUCAGCCAAGAGGAAAAGCACUCUGAUUAUGAAUUGAGCAGAAGGAAACAAAGUUCUGCAGAUAAACACCAAUGAGACAAAAAAACACAAAUAAGAAAAAUGACAGAAAAGAAGAACCUUCCCAGAAGCCUCCUGCCAGUGAACGGCCACCAUAGCAAGAGCAUGGAGGCCCUGGGUUUUGAACUGUGAGAUAAGGAAGAUGAUGAAAACCUCCCUAGCAGCCAGGCAAGCACAAGAUUCCUGUGAAAUCCAGGUCUAAGUGUUUUGACUACAGAAGUAAUAUUAUGUCAUAGGUGAGAGCUGUGAGUUGCUGAACCCAAAGUGAGUUCAAAUCCAAGUUCUGCCUCCUGCAACCUUUGUGACUUUGAGAAGUUCCAACACCACUUUGUGCCUCAGUUUUCUCAUCUGUCAAAUGGGCAUAAUCACAGCUCUUGCCUCAGAGUUGUUGUAAAUUAAUACAUGUAAAGCACUGAAAUCA